AUGAAAUUUUCCGUGAGGUUUAUAAGCAAAUGGUUGCCGCUAGAAAAUAAUAAGUAAGAUAAAAAAGAACCUACAUAUGUAGGUUCUUUUUUGGUUUAUAGAAAAUCUUUUAAUU
Molecule: ribosomal RNA, 115 nt
Filed under: Acinetobacter baumannii BJAB07104
Lineage: Bacteria; Pseudomonadati; Pseudomonadota; Gammaproteobacteria; Moraxellales; Moraxellaceae
Source: RNAcentral